This 77-nucleotide transfer RNA is filed under the name bacterium. Its description in RNAcentral is "tRNA-Arg". It matches the Rfam family "tRNA". From Rfam's summary of the family: Transfer RNA (tRNA) molecules are approximately 80 nucleotides in length. Their secondary structure includes four short double-helical elements and three loops (D, anti-codon, and T loops). The record is from RNAcentral.
GUUCUAAUAGCUCAGUUGGAUAGAGUGUUAGCCUCCGAAGCUAAAGGUCGGGAGUUCGAAUCUCCCUUAGAACACCA